Long non-coding RNA from Gallus gallus (chicken), 487 nucleotides. RefSeq lists it as uncharacterized. The record is from RefSeq and is a predicted model, not a curated record. The transcript is spliced from 2 exons. Lineage: Eukaryota; Metazoa; Chordata; Aves; Galliformes; Phasianidae.
GGAGCUCUGUCUGGGGACUGUCCCUUCUAGAGACUUCACUGGCUCUAGAAAUGAUCAUCUGUUCCUGAGCAAUGCUAUUUGUAGCAGGUAACGUGACUGCAGAUUUAAAACGGUCUCGUCUGUACGAGGGCUUCUGCAGAAGCAAUAUUCAGUAACAGGAGAACUAGCAGCCCGAUUAUGGGAAGUCACAGCAAGAAUCAUCGGUCAAAGAACUCUGCAAUACAGAAAUCAUCUGCAAAGGAGCUACUCACCAGGAACCGUAUCGAUAUAAAGAAACGCACAAACACUUAAAAAGGUUUUUUGAUUUUAUUAGAUCUUAAAAAAAUAUACGAGAUCCGAUCAUAUGUGAACAUGGCUCAAAAUCUCCCUCCAAUAAUCCUGUAAUACUGAUUAAAGGAGACAUAGGGCAGUAAGAACUAACAGCAGCAGACAAAAAGGCAAGAAAAUAAUGUCAGUUUGUUUGUAAAGAUUAAGGGGAAAAACAAAA